UGGAGACACACACGGUAGAUACA
This 23-nucleotide unclassified non-coding RNA is filed under the name Mus musculus (house mouse). RNAcentral's name for it is "oocyte_clustered_small_RNA12068". The record is from RNAcentral. Lineage: Eukaryota; Metazoa; Chordata; Mammalia; Rodentia; Muridae.